Molecule: long non-coding RNA, 1572 nt
Organism: Triticum aestivum (bread wheat)
Lineage: Eukaryota; Viridiplantae; Streptophyta; Magnoliopsida; Poales; Poaceae
Exons: 5
Source: RefSeq, a predicted model, not a curated record
UAUAUCUGGGCCUGUCCGGCGACAGCAACAACCAUUCAGCGGUGCGUCGUCGUGUUUGGGUAGCCGACCAGAAAGUGAACGGCACCGCGCCGGUGAGGCGCAGCGCCGCUUCUCGCCAUGGACGGCAUGGAGUUCUUCUUUUAGGAAUCUGGAGCAGGGUUCGUACCGCGCUUGGAUGGCGGAGUUGUCUUAAGAGAUCUACUUCCCGGUGAGCAACUGACUGAGGGCGGCACAACCGCUGAUGCGAAGGAGGACUUGGUUUAUUCUCUGCCGGUGAGACGAGCUGGAGGCUGCAUGGAUUGUGAAGGGGGCGAAUAUGCUGGUGUGGGGGGUGCGCAUCAUAUGAUCUUGGCGAUGAAGGGAUGGGCGAUUCCUGCGAGAUAGGCGGUGCAAAUAUAGUGCCUGAUGCCGCGGACCAGGAUGCAGACGAAGAGGGCGUGAGAGUGUCCAAUACAAACCAAUCUACUUAGAACAGGAGGGUCAGUGUUGGGAAAGCGGCAGAUGAGAGGGAGCCCAGUCCUUGAAGCUGUUGUCCGUGCAUAUGUCAAUAAGAAGUCUAAAAAUGUUGUCAAUCCAUUGAUUGGGACUAGUUUUGAUUCCAUCGAAGAGGGCUAUGGGUUCUACAAUCUGUAUUCAUGGGAGGUUGGUUUUGGUGUCCACUAUGCAAAAUCCAUUUGAAUGUACACCGGAAGAAGUGCAUGCAGGAGAUAGUUUGUGCAUGUGCGGCCAACAGUAGAUCAAUGAGGUGUGGUUGCAAUGCCAUGAUACGACUGCCGAGGAGUUAUCUGUUAACUGUGGAGAGAAAUUGUACUUAAGGUCAUGAUACACCUAAAACUGCAUGAGCUGCCUCCAAAACAUGUGCUCAAGUGAUGGACUAGAGAUGCAAGAGAUAUACUACCGCCGGAGUAUUUGCGCUACCAGAAGGAUCAUGGGUCGCUGAAGUAUUCUUCUCAUCGACACAACACUUUAUACUUGUUGGCACUGGAUUCCAUUAAGUUAGGCGACAGCAAUGUGGAAGCAUAUGCACUUGCUAUGGAGAAAAUGCGAGAUGUCAAAGUGUUGGUCGAGCCAGUUGCCGCCGUGGGGGAUGGGCUUGGUCUGUCUUAUAGAGAGUUGGCUGCAGAUUCAGCCGGCUCUGGCGUUGAUAACAAGAAGCACUUUGGGCAAACUAUGUCUGAGCACACCAUUUCACAAGGAUCAGAUGUGUUUCCAGCACGGUCAAGGAAACGACAGGCUGGGCGUUCAACAACCAGCCGCAACAAGGCUCUAUAUAUGAACAACCAUCAAAGAGGAGUUGAUUCUGUUCUAUAUGCAGAAUUCAGGGGCACACGAGCACAACAGACCACAUGAAGAACACAUGCAGCAACCCGCCUAAAGUCUGAAAAAUCUAAAUUUUAGUGUUUGUUUACUCAUGGUAUGGAUUUGGCUAUGUGGCACUUUGUUAUUAGAACCUUGUGUGUUAUUUGUGUGAAACAUCAAGAGAUGGUAUGAGUGCUACUAUGCGUUCUUGUGUCAGCUGGUCAGCACAUUGUAAAAUUGCCUGAUGAAUUCUGUUAGAUAUGCUCUAGUGUU